UGAGGAAUAUUGGACAAUGGGGGCAACCCUGAUCCAGCAAUGCCGCGUGAAUGAAGAAGGCCUUCGGGUUGUAAAAUUCUUUCACUCGUGAAGAUGAUGACGGUAGCGAGAGAAGAAGCUCCGGCUAACUCUGUGCCAGCAGCCGCGGUAAGACAGAGGGAGCUAGCGUUGUUCGGAAUGACUGGGCGUAAAGGGUGCGUAGGCGGUCGCUUAAGCAAGGUGUUAAAGCCCCAGGCUCAACCUGGGAAUCGCGCUUUGAACUGGGUGACUGGAGUGUGAGAGAGGAAAGUGGAAUUCUUAGUGUAGAGGUGAAAUUCGUAGAUAUUAAGAGGAAUACCUGAGGCGAAGGCGGCUUUCUGGAUCAUUACUGACGCUGAGGCACGAAAGCGUGGGGAGCAAAUAGG
This 404-nucleotide ribosomal RNA is filed under the name uncultured bacterium. Its description in RNAcentral is "bacterial SSU rRNA". It matches the Rfam family "Bacterial small subunit ribosomal RNA", at positions 355 to 776 of the family's 1533-position model. The record is from RNAcentral.